AACGAACGCUGGCGGCAGGCCUAACACAUGCAAGUCGAGCGAAGCCUUCGGGCUUAGCGGCGGCCGGGUGAGUAACGCGUGGGAACGUGCCCUUUGGUACGGAAUAGCCCCGGGAAACUGGGAGUAAUACCGUAUGUGGUCGAGAGACGAAAGAUUUAUCGCCAAAGGAUCGGCCCGCGUUGGAUUAGGUAGUUGGUGGGGUGAUGGCCUACCAAGCCGACGAUCCAUAGCGGGUUUGAGAGGAUGAUCAGCCACACUGGGACUGAGACACGGGCCAGAGUGCUACGGUAGGCAGCAGUGGGGAAUCUUAGACGAUGGGGGAAACCCUGAUCUAGCCAUGCCGGGUGAUCGAUGAAGGCCUUAGGGUUGUAAAGAUCUUUCAGUGGGGACGAUAAUGACUGUACCCACAGAAGAAGCCCCGGCUAACUCCGUGCCAGCCGCCGCAGUAA
Molecule: ribosomal RNA, 449 nt
Filed under: uncultured bacterium
Lineage: Bacteria
Description: partial 16S ribosomal RNA
Rfam family: Bacterial small subunit ribosomal RNA
Source: RNAcentral